CAGUCGCCGCGGUAAAACGUAGGUGGCAAGCGUUGUCCGGAAUUAUUGGGCGUAAAGCGCGCGCAGGCGGAUAGGUCAGUCUGUCUUAAAAGUUCGGGGCUUAACCCCGUGAUGGGAUGGAAACUGCCAAUCUAGAGUAUCGGAGAGGAAAGUGGAAUUCCUAGUGUAGCGGUGAAAUGCGUAGAUAUUAGGAAGAACACCAGUGGCGAAGGCGACUUUCUGGACGAAAACUGACGCUGAGGCGCGAAAGCCAGGGGAGCGAACGGGAUUAGAUACCCCUGUAGUCCCUGUCUCUUAUACA
This 301-nucleotide ribosomal RNA is filed under the name uncultured bacterium. Its description in RNAcentral is "partial 16S ribosomal RNA". It matches the Rfam family "Bacterial small subunit ribosomal RNA", at positions 509 to 809 of the family's 1533-position model. The record is from RNAcentral.